UACGUAGGGUGCAAGCGUUGUCCGGAAUUAUUGGGCGUAAAGAGCUCGUAGGCGGUCUGUCGCGUCGGCUGUGAAAACCCGGGGCUCAACCCUGGGCCUGCAGUCGAUACGGGCAGACUAGAGUGCGGUAGGGGAGACUGGAAUUCCUGGUGUAGCGGUGAAAUGCGCAGAUAUCAGGAGGAACACCGGUGGCGAAGGCGGGUCUCUGGGCCGUAACUGACGCUGAGGAGCGAAAGCGUGGGGAGCGAACAGG
This 253-nucleotide ribosomal RNA is filed under the name uncultured bacterium. RNAcentral's name for it is "partial 16S ribosomal RNA". It matches the Rfam family "Bacterial small subunit ribosomal RNA", at positions 524 to 776 of the family's 1533-position model. The record is from RNAcentral.